UGGGGAAUUUUGCACAAUGGGGGAAACCCUGAUGCAGCGACGCCGCGUGAUUUUGAAGGCCUUCGGGUUGUAAAAAUCUUUUUUAUGGGAUGAAAAUGACAGUACCAUAAGAAUAAGGUCCGGCUAAAUACGUGCCAGCAGCCGCGGUAAUACGUAUGGACCGAGCGUUGUCCGGAAUCAUUGGGCGUAAAGGGUACGUAGGCGGCCCAGUAAGUUAGAAGUGAAAUAAUAUAGCUCAACUAUAUAAAGCUUUUAAAACUGCUAGGCUUGAGAGAUGGAAGGGAAAGUGGAAUUCCUAGUGUAGCGGUGAAAUGCGCAGAUAUUAGGAAGAAUACCGGUGGCGAAGGCGACUUUCUGGUCAUCAUCUGACGCUGAGGUACGAAAGCGUGGGUAGCAAACAGG
Molecule: ribosomal RNA, 402 nt
Filed under: Verrucomicrobiota bacterium
Lineage: Bacteria; Pseudomonadati; Verrucomicrobiota
Description: Verrucomicrobia bacterium partial 16S ribosomal RNA
Rfam family: Bacterial small subunit ribosomal RNA
Source: RNAcentral